UUUGUGAUUAUAUCCCUUUUAUUUGCUUGUGUGUAUAGCUCGUAGAUGAGAGGAUCGCCUCACUAAGUAUAUGUGAUAAUA
RNAcentral lists this small RNA (81 nucleotides) under Arabidopsis thaliana (thale cress). RNAcentral describes it as "ATSL096120". The record is from RNAcentral. Lineage: Eukaryota; Viridiplantae; Streptophyta; Magnoliopsida; Brassicales; Brassicaceae.